AACAUUGUCUUAUGAACACAAUAUUAGAUAAUACCUGCCCAGUGACACUGUUCAACGGCCGCGGUAUCCUAACCGUGCAAAGGUAGCAUAAUCAUUUGCCUAUUAAUUGUAGGCUAGAAUGAACGGAUUAACGAAAUAAAAGCUGUCUCAAUUAAUCAACUAAAAAUUAUUUUCUAUCUGAAGAAAGGUAGAUAAUCUCGAAGGACAAGAAGACCCUAUAGAGCUUAAUUUUAACUAUAGAAUCAAACUAUAUAAAUAUUCGGUUGGGGCGACCCAGGGCAAAUUAAUCACCCAUUAAAUAAAAGAUAAAUAAAUCUAAUAAAUGACCCUAUAAAGAUCAUGAAAACAAGCUACCUUAGGGAUAACAGGCUAAUCCCACUUAAGAGUUCUUAUCAAUAGUGGGGUUUGGCACCUCGAUGUUGGCUUAGGGUAUCUCUAUAGCGCAAAAGUUAUAUAAAGAUGGUUUGUUCAACCAGUAAUUCCCUACGUGAUCUGAGU
Molecule: ribosomal RNA, 498 nt
Filed under: Amynthas sp. FJ201108-15
Lineage: Eukaryota; Metazoa; Annelida; Clitellata; Crassiclitellata; Megascolecidae
Description: partial 16S ribosomal RNA
Rfam family: Bacterial large subunit ribosomal RNA
Source: RNAcentral